CUAGAGGUAUAACAAUUGGUAGUUUACCUGCUUUGGAUGCAGGAGGUUGUAGGUUCGAAUCCUGCUCUCUAGACUA
RNAcentral lists this transfer RNA (76 nucleotides) under Tenacibaculum jejuense. Its description in RNAcentral is "tRNA-Pro". It matches the Rfam family "tRNA". From Rfam's summary of the family: Transfer RNA (tRNA) molecules are approximately 80 nucleotides in length. Their secondary structure includes four short double-helical elements and three loops (D, anti-codon, and T loops). The record is from RNAcentral. Lineage: Bacteria; Pseudomonadati; Bacteroidota; Flavobacteriia; Flavobacteriales; Flavobacteriaceae.